This 263-nucleotide signal recognition particle RNA is filed under the name Lachnospiraceae bacterium. RNAcentral's name for it is "signal recognition particle sRNA large type". It matches the Rfam family "Bacterial large signal recognition particle RNA". Rfam says of the family: The signal recognition particle (SRP) is a universally conserved ribonucleoprotein involved in the co-translational targeting of proteins to membranes. Archaeal SRP consists of a 7S RNA and homologues of the eukaryotic SRP19 and SRP54 proteins. In most bacteria, the SRP consists of a 4.5S RNA and the Ffh protein (a homologue of the eukaryotic SRP54 protein). Lineage: Bacteria; Bacillati; Bacillota; Clostridia; Lachnospirales; Lachnospiraceae. The record is from RNAcentral.
CCGUGCAGCCGGGGAGUUAGCGGUGCCCUGUACCUGCAAUCCGCUAUAGCAGGGGUGUUGUCCUGCCCCGGGACAAUUCUUUCGGAGCUGCCCUUUAUAAGUGGCGUUGACGUCUUGGUCUUACGCAACAGGAACUUGUGAACCGUGUCAGGUCGGGAACGAAGCAGCACUAAGCAAAACUUUCUGUGUGCCGUGAGGGUGCCUGGACUGAGCUAACUGUAAAGGUAACGUCCAUUAAGAUUGUUUCAAAGCGGGACGCACGG